RNAcentral lists this transfer RNA (76 nucleotides) under Minisyncoccota bacterium. Its description in RNAcentral is "tRNA-Cys". It matches the Rfam family "tRNA". Rfam says of the family: Transfer RNA (tRNA) molecules are approximately 80 nucleotides in length. Their secondary structure includes four short double-helical elements and three loops (D, anti-codon, and T loops). The record is from RNAcentral. Lineage: Bacteria; Bacillati; Minisyncoccota.
GGCCACAUGGCGAAGUAGCAACGCGGCGGUCUGCAAAACCGCUAUUGGGUGGGUGCAACUCCCACUGUGGCCUCCA